Molecule: ribosomal RNA, 641 nt
Filed under: Streptomyces sp. I13A-01710
Lineage: Bacteria; Bacillati; Actinomycetota; Actinomycetes; Kitasatosporales; Streptomycetaceae
Description: bacterial SSU rRNA
Rfam family: Bacterial small subunit ribosomal RNA
Source: RNAcentral
CGAACGGGUGAGUAACACGUGGGCAAUCUGCCCUGCACUCUGGGACAAGCCCUGGAAACGGGGUCUAAUACCGGAUAAUACCUUCCCUCGCAUGGGGGUGGGUUCAAAGCUCCGGCGGUGCAGGAUGAGCCCGCGGCCUAUCAGCUUGUUGGUGAGGUAGUGGCUCACCAAGGCGACGACGGGUAGCCGGCCUGAGAGGGCGACCGGCCACACUGGGACUGAGACACGGCCCAGACUCCUACGGGAGGCAGCAGUGGGGAAUAUUGCACAAUGGGCGAAAGCCUGAUGCAGCGACGCCGCGUGAGGGAUGACGGCCUUCGGGUUGUAAACCUCUUUCAGCAGGGAAGAAGCGCAAGUGACGGUACCUGCAGAAGAAGCGCCGGCUAACUACGUGCCAGCAGCCGCGGUAAUACGUAGGGCGCAAGCGUUGUCCGGAAUUAUUGGGCGUAAAGAGCUCGUAGGCGGUCUGUCGCGUCGGAUGUGAAAGCCCGGGGCUUAACCCCGGGUCUGCAUUCGAUACGGGCAGACUAGAGUGUGGUAGGGGAGAUCGGAAUUCCUGGUGUAGCGGUGAAAUGCGCAGAUAUCAGGAGGAACACCGGUGGCGAAGGCGGAUCUCUGGGCCAUUACUGACGCUGAGGAGC